AUUGAACGCUGGCGGCAUGCUUUACACAUGCAAGUCGAACGGUAACAGGUCUUCGGAUGCUGACGAGUGGCGAACGGGUGAGUAAUACAUCGGAACGUGCCUAGUAGUGGGGGAUAACUACUCGAAAGAGUAGCUAAUACCGCAUGAGAUCUACGGAUGAAAGCAGGGGACCUCCGGGCCUUGUGCUACUAGAGCGGCUGAUGGCAGAUUAGGUAGUUGGUGGGGUAAAGGCUUACCAAGCCUGCGAUCUGUAGCUGGUCUGAGAGGACGACCAGCCACACUGGGAGUGAGACACGGCCCAGACUCCGACGGGAGGCAGGAGGGGGGAAUUUUGGACAAUGGGCGAAAGCCUGAUCCAGCAAUGCCGCGUGCAGGAUGAAGGCCCUCGGGUUGUAAACUGCUUUUGUACGGAGCGAAAAGACUGGGCUAAUAUCCCCGGGUCAUGACGGUACCGUAAGAAUAAGCACCGGCUAACUACGUG
This 481-nucleotide ribosomal RNA is filed under the name uncultured bacterium. RNAcentral's name for it is "partial 16S ribosomal RNA". It matches the Rfam family "Bacterial small subunit ribosomal RNA", at positions 30 to 507 of the family's 1533-position model. The record is from RNAcentral.